RNAcentral lists this ribosomal RNA (544 nucleotides) under Talaromyces pinophilus. Its description in RNAcentral is "eukaryotic LSU rRNA". The stretch from base 211 to 364 matches the Rfam family "5.8S ribosomal RNA". Lineage: Eukaryota; Fungi; Ascomycota; Eurotiomycetes; Eurotiales; Trichocomaceae. The record is from RNAcentral.
CUUCCGUAGGGUGAACCUGCGGAAGGAUCAUUACCGAGUGCGGGCCUCGCGGCCCAACCUCCCACCCUUGUCUCUAUACACCUGUUGCUUUGGCGGGCCCACCGGGGCCACCUGGUCGCCGGGGGACGCACGUCCCCGGGCCCGCGCCCGCCGAAGCGCUCUGUGAACCCUGAUGAAGAUGGGCUGUCUGAGUACUAUGAAAAUUGUCAAAACUUUCAACAAUGGAUCUCUUGGUUCCGGCAUCGAUGAAGAACGCAGCGAAAUGCGAUAAGUAAUGUGAAUUGCAGAAUUCCGUGAAUCAUCGAAUCUUUGAACGCACAUUGCGCCCCCUGGCAUUCCGGGGGGCAUGCCUGUCCGAGCGUCAUUUCUGCCCUCAAGCACGGCUUGUGUGUUGGGUGUGGUCCCCCCGGGGACCUGCCCGAAAGGCAGCGGCGACGUCCGUCUGGUCCUCGAGCGUAUGGGGCUCUGUCACUCGCUCGGGAAGGACCUGCGGGGGUUGGUCACCACCAUAUUUUACCACGGUUGACCUCGGAUCAGGUAGGAG